GGGGGGAGGCCAGAUCCUGGGCUGUGUCCCCGGUGCCCUGUGCUGCCGGACCUGCAUUGUUGGAAUCGCGCUCCCAGCCAGGCAGCCCCAU
Canis lupus familiaris (dog) is the source of this 91-nucleotide non-coding RNA. Lineage: Eukaryota; Metazoa; Chordata; Mammalia; Carnivora; Canidae. The record is from Rfam.